GUACACACCGCCCGUCAAGCCAUGGGAGCCGGGGGGUGCUUGAAGUGCGUCGCCGCAAGGCGCGCCCUAGAGCAAAACCGGUGACUGGGGCUAAGUCGUAACAAGGUACC
Molecule: ribosomal RNA, 110 nt
Filed under: uncultured bacterium
Lineage: Bacteria
Description: partial 16S ribosomal RNA
Rfam family: Bacterial small subunit ribosomal RNA
Source: RNAcentral